This is a non-coding RNA of Malus domestica (apple), 2060 nucleotides long. NCBI's taxonomy places the organism in Eukaryota, Viridiplantae, Streptophyta, Magnoliopsida, Rosales, Rosaceae. The record is from RefSeq and is a predicted model, not a curated record.
UUAUUCCAUUUCUACCCUUCAAUUGCUAUGUAAAUUUAGCUUUUUGUGUGUAUUAUAGAGUAAAAUGACAUUUUUGUCCAUGCUGGGCAAUAGAAAUCUCUCCAUUUCUUCAGACCCCGCACUCAGCUUUCGCCAUCUCUCUUCCAUCUCUGCUUCGCGCUCUUCAAUCUUUUUGCUUUGUCAUCUCUUCCUCCGUGAUUUCUUCACCAGCAACUUUGCUCAAGAUCUUUCCAAUUGAAAAAACCCAGAUCAUCAUCAUCUAUUCCUCAUCACCACAGGUUGUUGAAAUUGAUACGUCCCAAGUCUGGUGAGAUUAGAGAUAGUAUCAAGGAACUGAAUAUGAUGUAACAACACAUCCAUUGCAGGUCACUGAAGCUGAUAUUGAACAUUGCCGAUUCAUCAGAACCUAUAUUCUUCUGCGUUUCCUCAAAAUCCAAGGUCUUGUGUUUUUGUGAUUUUGGGUUCGUAGGUUUUUCAGAUUUUGGGAGUUUGUUUGUAGGCUGCAAAAUCCUCUGUUCUCAAGAGGAUUCGAGCAUUAAUAUUGUCAGUAAUGGUGAGACUACUGGUUUUCCAGUCACCCCACAUAAUGAGCAGCUGAGUUGUGCAUCUCCAAGCAAGAAAAGGCUGGAUGCUAUUAGUGAUUCUGCCAAAGAAUCAAAACAAAGUGUUUUUAUUAUGGAUACUCACACAUUCGAGAUGUAUACCAGCUCAUUGAACAAGAGGACAUCUAGCAGUCCAAAGAAGCUCUCUCGGUGCAGCAUACACUUUCCUCAAUCAAAUUUUGACAAGGAGGAUCCAGUGAACAAUGGAAUUGGUGAUGAUCCAAAGAGUUAAACUGGUUUAAUUCUACUGAAAAUUGUGUGUUGAUGAUUGCUUCAGUCAAAUUCGAUAUUUUCGGUAGACUAGAGAUGGCUGCUAGAAAAUGUAUGACUGUUCUCUAAUCUAAAAUACACUUCUCAGAUUGCUGUGGUUACUGGUUUGAAUUUUCCUUAUUUACCUUGGUGCCUUUUAACUUUUGAGGUGAAAUUUGUUACGCGACUUCAUUACUUGCAAAAUUUUGUUGAGUCAACAUUCAAUGCCCUUCCUUCGAAUCAAGUUAAAGGUAGGAUCGUACUCGGAGAAGUUUGUGAGGGGCCAAUGGGACAAGGAUUGCAAAAAUACAAGGCUUGCCUCUCAAGAUUGUAUUAAUUUCCCUUUGACUGGAAAUUUGGGGUUUCUUUAGGGUUUUCGCUCGCCAGACAAUGAUAGGUGAAUCACGGCAAGCAACAACAAUUAUGCUGCAAACUGAAUCCAAGAUGACUAACCUGGAGUCUUCAUGGUGGUCGCACCUCUCCUCAUCUUUGCUCCUCCUCCGAAACCCCUCUUUCAGGACCUAGGAAACAAGUAGCAAUGCAGAGGCACUGUUGGAGAGAUUGUGGACCUCUGUUAAAUCACAGUCUAGUGAAGGGAUUAGCCCGUCUAACUUUGUGUUUUAGAUGAAUCCGUUUCGGAUAAGGGAAAAUUCAAACCCAUAAAAAGUUGGGUUUCCUGGUCACCAAUGAACAGCACCAUUUGCCUUGCUCCCAUCACAGCUUGGCUUUCAGUUCCUCAGGUAAAGUUUCCACCUUUUUUUCUUCAGGAAAAUAACAAAGAUUCCAAAUUUAUUGAACUAUUUAGUGAUUUUCUGUUGAGUUUCUUCUUAAAAUUUUUAAUUAAAAUUUUUUGAAUUGAAAUGGGGGGAAUGGUGGAUGUGAGAGUCUCUUUUACAACAAUUCAAAGGGAAGAGCUUGAGAGACAGUGGACUCUUCCCCUAUUCCUCCACAUUCCCUUUUACCAAUUUCCAAGAACACAUUAAAUUCCCUCAAAAUAUAAACCGAGGUCUGGAAAAGCUUUGAAUUCCUUGGUUUCCUCCAAUUAGUAUGCAGAACUCUCAAAAAAUAAAGAAGUGAGGGUUGAAUGUCUACCCUCAUAUAUACACAGAGAGAUAUGGAAAAAAUUAGAAUGGUGAAGUGAGGGUUCAAUGACUUAUUUGGUUCUAUUUAAAUAAAGUUCGCUGAUUAGGUUGAUUUGUGUUGUGUACA